GGCGAUGUAGCUCAGUUGGCUAGAGCGUCCGGUUCAUACCCGGAAGGUCGUGGGUUCAACCCCCUCCGUCGCUACCA
RNAcentral lists this transfer RNA (77 nucleotides) under Mollicutes bacterium. RNAcentral's name for it is "tRNA-Met". It matches the Rfam family "tRNA". From Rfam's summary of the family: Transfer RNA (tRNA) molecules are approximately 80 nucleotides in length. RNAcentral also lists the same sequence under 1 other name. The record is from RNAcentral. Lineage: Bacteria; Bacillati; Mycoplasmatota; Mollicutes.